GACGAACGCUGGCGGCGUGCUUAACACAUGCAAGUCGAACGGAAGGGCCUCUUUCGGGGGGUACUCGAGUGGCGAACGGGUGAGUAACACGUGAGUAACCUGCCCUUGACUUUGGGAUAACUUCAGGAAACUGGGGCUAAUACCGGAUAGGAGCUCCUGCUGCAUGGUGGGGGUUGGAAAGUUUCGGCGGUUGGGGAUGGACUCGCGGCUUAUCAGCUUGUUGGUGGGGUAGUGGCUUACCAAGGCUUUGACGGGUAGCCGGCCUGAGAGGGUGACCGGCCACAUGGGGACGGGGAGACGGCCCAGACUCCAGGGGGGGGAGGAGGGGGGAAUGAGUGAAAAAGGGGUGGAGGCCGGAUGCAGAACCGCCGGGGGGGGGAGGGCGGACUUGGGGUUGAAAACCGUGUCCGAUCAUGAGGAGGUGUGGUGGGACGGUGGUGGGUAAAGAAGCACCGGCAAACUAGGUG
RNAcentral lists this ribosomal RNA (467 nucleotides) under uncultured bacterium. RNAcentral describes it as "partial 16S ribosomal RNA". It matches the Rfam family "Bacterial small subunit ribosomal RNA", at positions 28 to 507 of the family's 1533-position model. The record is from RNAcentral.